UACGUAGGGUGCGAGCGUUAAUCGGAAUUACUGGGCGUAAAGCGUGCGCAGGCGGUUUGUUAAGACCGAUGUGAAAUCCCCGGGCUCAACCUGGGAACUGCAUUGGUGACUGGCAAGCUAGAGUAUGGCAGAGGGGGGUAGAAUUCCACGUGUAGCAGUGAAAUGCGUAGAGAUGUGGAGGAAUACCGAUGGCGAAGGCAGCCCCCUGGGCCAAUACUGACGCUCAUGCACGAAAGCGUGGGGAGCAAACAGG
This 253-nucleotide ribosomal RNA is filed under the name Burkholderia gladioli. RNAcentral describes it as "partial 16S ribosomal RNA". It matches the Rfam family "Bacterial small subunit ribosomal RNA", at positions 524 to 776 of the family's 1533-position model. The record is from RNAcentral. Lineage: Bacteria; Pseudomonadati; Pseudomonadota; Betaproteobacteria; Burkholderiales; Burkholderiaceae. RNAcentral also lists the same sequence under 1 other name.